UACGUAGGGGGCUAGCGUUGUCCGGAAUCAUUGGGCGUAAAGAGCGCGUAGGCGGCUCGGUAAGCCGGAUGUGAAACCUCCAAGCUCAACUUGGAGCGGCCAUUCGGAACUGCUGUGGCUAGAGUCUGGUAGGGGAACACGGAAUUCCUGGUGUAGCGGUGAAAUGCUUAGAUAUCAGGAGGAACACCAGUGGCGAAGGCGGUGUUCUGGGCCAGUACUGACGCUGAGGCGCGAAAGCGUGGGGAGCGAACAGG
RNAcentral lists this ribosomal RNA (254 nucleotides) under uncultured bacterium. RNAcentral's name for it is "partial 16S ribosomal RNA". It matches the Rfam family "Bacterial small subunit ribosomal RNA", at positions 524 to 776 of the family's 1533-position model. The record is from RNAcentral.